GAUGAACGCUGGCGGCGUGCCUAAUACAUGCAAGUCGAGCGAACAGACGGGGAGCUUGCUCCUCUGACGUUAGCGGCGGACGGGUGAGUAACACGUGGAUAACCUACCUAUAAGACUGGGAUAACUUCGGGAAACCGGAGCUAAUACCGGAUAAUAUAUUGAACCGCAUGGUUCAAUAGUGAAAGACGGUUUUGCUGUCACUUAUAGAUGGAUCCGCGCCGCAUUAGCUAGUUGGUAAGGUAACGGCUACCAAGGCAACGAUGCGUAGCCGACCUGAGAGGGUGAUCGGCCACACUGGAACUGAGACACGGUCCAGACUCCUACGGGAGGCAGCAGUAGGGAAUCUUCCGCAAUGGGCGAAAGCCUGACGGAGCAACGCCGCGUGAGUGAUGAAGGUCUUCGGAUCGUAAAACUCUGUUAUUAGGGAAGAACAAAUGUGUAAGUAACUAUGCACGUCUUGACGGUACCUAAUCAGAAAGCCACGGCUAACUACGUG
Molecule: ribosomal RNA, 496 nt
Filed under: uncultured bacterium
Lineage: Bacteria
Description: partial 16S ribosomal RNA
Rfam family: Bacterial small subunit ribosomal RNA
Source: RNAcentral